UGUGUGUGUGUGAGAGAGAGAGAGAGACAGAGACAGAGACAGAGACAGACAGACAGAGAGAGAGAGAUAGAGUUGUUGUUAGAUCCCCUGGAAAUGUAGUUAUAGAGGGGCGGCUGUGAGUCACUUAUGGGAGUGCUGGGAAUUGAACUUGGGUCCCCUGAAAGGACAAUCUGUGAUCUUAACUGCUGAGCAUAUUUGUUUAAUCUCUGUCAUGCCAGGGCUUUAUACAUAGAGUAUUCUACUGCCGAGCUACAUCCCUUGUCUCAUUUUCUUCUUCCUCAUUUUGCACACUAAGCUGUCCCAAGCCUUCAGUUUUAGCUUUUUUAUCUGUAGAGAACGCUGUUCGCCACCACAAUGCCACCUCUAAGAUCACCGUUCAAAAAAGCCAGUGUCAGGACAGCCCUGGGUUCUGCCCGUUAGCUGCCCUGUGGGGAUGAAUGAAUGAAUGCACGUGCUGGACAGCCCUGGGUUCUGCCCGUUAGCUGCCCUGUGGGGAUGAAUGAAUGAAUGAAUGAAUGAAUGAAUGCACGUACUGGACAGCCCUGGGUUCUGCCCGUUAGCUGCCCUGUGGGGAUGAAUGAAUGCACGUGCUAACCCCCUCUCCUGGCCUCAUGGCUCCUCUCUCCCUCUGCUCUUCCAGCCUCGCCAUUCACCCCCUGGCCCAGGUAGCUUUCAUCUGGUCACCCACUUCCUGGCUUUGGAUUUGGAGUACUUCGGCAGCUCCUGAAACAGAACCCGAGUUGGCACAGCCCCUCUGCCUACAGACACAGUUUGUCGUGGAGCCUCUAGUGACCAACUGCAUGACCUGGUGUUUCUUUCCCAAAUCCGUGGAGCCACAGAACUAGCCAGACCACUGAUGUUCAGGCAUGCGCCAGGCAGCUGGGUGCUGUGGAACACACAUCCCUUUCCCCAAAUAAAACGGAAAGCCUUCUAAA
Mesocricetus auratus (golden hamster) is the source of this 935-nucleotide long non-coding RNA. RefSeq lists it as uncharacterized. The record is from RefSeq and is a predicted model, not a curated record. NCBI's taxonomy places the organism in Eukaryota, Metazoa, Chordata, Mammalia, Rodentia, Cricetidae. The transcript is spliced from 2 exons.